RNAcentral lists this ribosomal RNA (1292 nucleotides) under Bipolaris bamagaensis. RNAcentral describes it as "eukaryotic LSU rRNA". It matches the Rfam family "Eukaryotic large subunit ribosomal RNA", at positions 135 to 1444 of the family's 3401-position model. Lineage: Eukaryota; Fungi; Ascomycota; Dothideomycetes; Pleosporales; Pleosporaceae. The record is from RNAcentral.
AGUCCGAGUUGUAAUUUGCAGAGGGCGCUUUGGCUUUGGCAGCGGUCCAAGUUCCUUGGAACAGGACGUCACAGAGGGUGAGAAUCCCGUACGUGGUCGCUAGCUAUUGCCGUGUAAAGCCCCUUCGACGAGUCGAGUUGUUUGGGAAUGCAGCUCUAAAUGGGAGGUAAAUUUCUUCUAAAGCUAAAUAUUGGCCAGAGACCGAUAGCGCACAAGUAGAGUGAUCGAAAGAUGAAAAGCACUUUGGAAAGAGAGUCAAACAGCACGUGAAAUUGUUGAAAGGGAAGCGCUUGCAGCCAGACUUGCUUGCAGUUGCUCAUCCGGGCUUUUGCCCGGUGCACUCUUCUGUAGGCAGGCCAGCAUCAGUUUGGGCGGUGGGAUAAAGGUCUCUGUCACGUACCUCUCUUCGGGGAGGCCUUAUAGGGGAGACGACAUACCACCAGCCUAGACUGAGGUCCGCGCAUCUGCUAGGAUGCUGGCGUAAUGGCUGUAAGCGGCCCGUCUUGAAACACGGACCAAGGAGUCUAACAUCUAUGCGAGUGUUUGGGUGUCAAGCCCGAGCGCGUAAUGAAAGUGAACGGAGGUGGGAACCCGCAAGGGUGCACCAUCGACCGAUCCUGAAGUUUACGGAAGGAUUUGAGUAAGAGCAUGGCUGUUGGGACCCGAAAGAUGGUGAACUAUGCUUGAAUAGGGUGAAGCCAGAGGAAACUCUGGUGGAGGCUCGCAGCGGUUCUGACGUGCAAAUCGAUCGUCAAAUUUGGGCAUAGGGGCGAAAGACUAAUCGAACUAUCUAGUAGCUGGUUCCUGCCGAAGUUUCCCUCAGGAUAGCAGUAACGUAUUCAGUUUUAUGAGGUAAAGCGAAUGAUUAGAGGCAUGGGGGUUGAAACAACCUUCACCUAUUCUCAAACUUUAAAUAUGUAAGAAGCCCUUUGUUACUUAAUUGAACGCGGGCAUUUGAAUGAAACGUUAUUAGUGGGCCAUUUUUGGUAAGCAGAACUGGCGAUGCGGGAUGAACCGAACGAGGGGUUACGGUGCCGGAGUACACGCUCAUCAGACACCACAAAAGGUGUUGGUUCAUCUAGACAGCAGGACGGUGGCCAUGGAAGUCGGAAUCCGCUAAGGAGUGUGUAACAACUCACCUGCCGAAUGAACUAGCCCUGAAAAUGGAUGGCGCUCAAGCGUGUCACCUAUACCCCUCCGCCGGGGCAAAAUUUACGCCCCGGCGAGUAGGCAGGCGUGGAGGCUCGUGACGAAGCCUUUGGGGGUGACCCCAGGUCGAACGGCCUCUAGUG